AAAAGAGCUUGCCGUUACCAUAGCGUAAUGAUACUUGCUGACUGACUGCAACUUAGCUAGCGUCAAGUUAGCUAACAUUAUUAGGCCUGCUACUUAGCUAGCAACCAUUUGCUAGUCUGUUACUGAAGAAGUUUGCUUAACGUUACAUAUGCUAACGUUAGCUAGUGCUAAACGACGAUAGCGUUUUCAAACCAAUAACCUAGCUAACGUUAAAUAAACCGAACUUAUAACAAAGCUAAUGUUCCUCAGACACUUUGUCCAGCUAAUAGAAGUUAUUAUUUGACAAUGACAUGUUUUUCUCGUUUGAUCAGCUAGCUAGCAGGCAGUUGCUAGCCUAGAGACCUGUCAUCCCCGGUACUCGAGUCUCAUAGUUAGCGUCCGAGUGCUCACAGACUCGGAAAAUACUUACAGGAAAGGCUCGUAUCCUCAUCUUGGUGUCCUUCUUGGUGCCGCCUUUGAGGUUGGACAUGAUUAGUUAGAACGACUUUCGUUUCUAAGUUGACUUAAAGACUACAUGAAAGGCAGUUGCUAGUUUGUUUUCUACGCCAGGAAAGCGGCAGGGAAACUCAGCGACCUCCCCUUCAGGAAUUAGUGAUGGCGGACGGCUGUACUCCACUGCGCAACGCCGAAAUCUCGCGAGAGUGAAGACACUAUACUGACAGGUGCAUUCCACAGUUUUCCAGUCCACGUAUCACUUUUUAAAUUGUCCAACUGCAAAUUCCGAUGAUAGACCAACGGCUGGAAGAUGGAAUAUCUUCUCACUGUCAUGACGACGCUCUCUGAAUGGGAGAGAGAGAGAAAUAUCACAGGAAACAGGUCCUUAGUGCAGCUAGGAAUGCUGUAGUGCCACUUGCAGACCGCAGUGUCCAGGGAGCCCUAAAAAGGGAAGGAGUCUCACUCUGGUUCCUGGCAGCUUGUGGAGCAGUGGAGGCUAAAUUAGGCCUGGAUUCAUUGACUUCCAAUCCCCAGAGU
Molecule: long non-coding RNA, 972 nt
Organism: Centropristis striata (black sea bass)
Lineage: Eukaryota; Metazoa; Chordata; Actinopteri; Perciformes; Serranidae
Exons: 4
Source: RefSeq, a predicted model, not a curated record